RNAcentral lists this ribosomal RNA (393 nucleotides) under uncultured bacterium. RNAcentral describes it as "partial 16S ribosomal RNA". It matches the Rfam family "Bacterial small subunit ribosomal RNA", at positions 523 to 918 of the family's 1533-position model. The record is from RNAcentral.
AUACGGAGGACGCGAGCGUUAUCCGGAUUCAUUGGGUUUAAAGGGUGCGCAGGCGGCCGUGCAAGUCAGCGGUGAAAGCCCGGGGCCCAACCCCGGAAGUGCCGUUGAUACUGCAUGGCUUGAAUGCGGUCGAGGCGGGCGGAACGUGGCGUGUAGCGGGGAAAAGCGUAGAUAUGCCACAGAACGCCGAUAGCGGAGGCAGCUCGCCAGGCCUGCAUUGACGCUCGGGCACGAAAGCGUGGGGAUCGAACAGGAUUAGAUACCCUGGUAGUCCACGCCGUAAACGAUGGGCGCUCGUCGUCGGCGGCAGACAGUCGGCGGCCAAGCGAAAGCGAUAAGCGCCCCACCUGGGGAGUACGGCCGCAAGGCUGAAACUUAAAGGAAUUGGCGGGG